GGGGCUGUGACUCAGUGGUAGGGUACUUGCCUUGCAUGUGUGAGGCACUGGGUUUGAUUCUCAGCACCCCA
RNAcentral lists this transfer RNA (71 nucleotides) under Marmota monax (woodchuck). It matches the Rfam family "tRNA". From Rfam's summary of the family: Transfer RNA (tRNA) molecules are approximately 80 nucleotides in length. Their secondary structure includes four short double-helical elements and three loops (D, anti-codon, and T loops). Further hydrogen bonds mediate the characteristic L-shaped molecular structure. tRNAs have two regions of fundamental functional importance: the anti-codon, which is responsible for specific mRNA codon recognition, and the 3' end, to which the tRNAs corresponding amino acid is attached (by aminoacyl-tRNA synthetases). tRNAs cope with the degeneracy of the genetic code in two manners: having more than one tRNA (with a specific anti-codon) for a particular amino acid; and 'wobble' base-pairing, i.e. permitting non-standard base-pairing at the 3rd anti-codon position. The record is from Rfam by way of RNAcentral. Lineage: Eukaryota; Metazoa; Chordata; Mammalia; Rodentia; Sciuridae.